AUGGCAACUACGAUUAUGCCAUGGCUGCCUAAUUAACUAAUUAGGUGACCCGUUCCACCUGCCUGCCGCCUUUCCGGGCGGGCUGGAGCGCCGGUCAGGAAGGCUCGGUCAACCAAACGCCUUUACGGGAGACUUAAAAAUAAAGGCUGGCGCCGGUUGUGGCCUGCCGCUCGGCAGCAAUCGGGGCGAGAAUAAAUGAGUCGGCUACGCACGUAGAAGAUAAUCUGGCAUCCUUUUCGGACGGGGGUUCGACUCCCCCCACCUCCAAUU
RNAcentral lists this transfer-messenger RNA (270 nucleotides) under Deltaproteobacteria bacterium. RNAcentral's name for it is "partial transfer-messenger RNA". It matches the Rfam family "transfer-messenger RNA", at positions 91 to 374 of the family's 374-position model. From Rfam's summary of the family: Bacterial tmRNA, also known as 10Sa RNA or SsrA, is named for its dual tRNA and mRNA-like properties. Its role is to liberate the mRNA from a stalled ribosome. Lineage: Bacteria; Pseudomonadati; Myxococcota; Myxococcia. The record is from RNAcentral.